This 462-nucleotide ribosomal RNA is filed under the name uncultured bacterium. RNAcentral's name for it is "partial 16S ribosomal RNA". It matches the Rfam family "Bacterial small subunit ribosomal RNA", at positions 28 to 507 of the family's 1533-position model. The record is from RNAcentral.
GAUGAACGCUGACAGAAUGCUUAACACAUGCAAGUCAUUGGCGAAGCUGCGCUUUCGCAGUCUAGCCAAGGCGGACGGGUGAGUAACGCGUAAGGAACUUGCCCUGCAGACAGGGAUAACAGACGUAAACGACUGAUAACACCUGGCAUUUUCAGGCUGGCGCAUGCCGGCCUGAUGAAAGGAGACGCUGCAGGAGAGCCUUGCGUCCUAUUAGCUAGUUGGUGGGGUAACGGCCCACCAAGGCGAUGAUAGGUAGCCGGCCUGAGAGGGUGAACGGCCACAAGGGGACUGAGAUACGGCCGUUACUCCUACGGGAGGCAGCAGUGGGGAAUAUUGGACAAUGGGGGCAACCCUGAUCCAGCAAUUCUGUGUGCACGAAGAAGGUUUUCGGAGUGUAAAGUGCUUUCAGCAGGGAAGAAGAAAGUGACGGUACCUGCAGAAGAAGCGACGGCUAAAUACGUG